This 417-nucleotide ribosomal RNA is filed under the name uncultured bacterium. RNAcentral's name for it is "bacterial SSU rRNA". It matches the Rfam family "Bacterial small subunit ribosomal RNA", at positions 9 to 428 of the family's 1533-position model. The record is from RNAcentral.
GAGUUUGAUCCUGGCUCAGGACGAACGCUGGCGGCGUGCUUAACACAUGCAAGUCGAACGAUGAAGGGGAGCUUGCUCCUUGGAUUAGUGGCGAACGGGUGAGUAACACGUGAGUAACCUGCCCUUGACUCUGGGAUAAGCGUUGGAAACGACGUCUAAUACCGGAUAUGACCUGUGACGGCAUCGUCUGCAGGUGGAAAGAAUUUUGGUCAAGGAUGGACUCGCGGCCUAUCAGGUAGUUGGUGAGGUAACGGCUCACCAAGCCGACGACGGGUAGCCGGCCUGAGAGGGUGACCGGCCACACUGGGACUGAGACACGGCCCAGACUCCUACGGGAGGCAGCAGUGGGGAAUAUUGCACAAUGGGCGAAAGCCUGAUGCAGCAACGCCGCGUGAGGGACGACGGCCUCGGUUGUAA